GUGAACGCUGGCGGUCGGCCUAACCCAUGCCAGUCGAACGGCAGCACAGUAAGAGCUUGCUCUUACGGGUGGCGAGUGGCGGACGGGUGAGGAAUACAUCGGAAUCUACUUUUUCGUGGGGGAUAACGUAGGGAAACUUACGCUAAUACCGCAUACGACCUACGGGUGAAAGCAGGGGAUCUUCGGACCUUGCGCGAUUGAAUGAGCCGAUGUCGGAUUAGCUAGUUGGCGGGGUAAAGGCCCACCAAGGCGACGAUCCGUAGCUGGUCUGAGAGGAUGAUCAGCCACACUGGAACUGAGACACGGUCCAGACUCCUACGGGAGGCAGCAGUGGGGAAUAUUGGACAAUGGGCGCAAGCCUGAUCCAGCCAUACCGCGUGGGUGAAGAAGGCCUUCGGGUUGUAAAGCCCUUUUGUUGGGAAAGAAAAGCAGCAGGUUAAUACCCCGCUGUUCCGACGGUACCCAAAGAAUAAGCACCGGCUAACUUCGUG
RNAcentral lists this ribosomal RNA (491 nucleotides) under uncultured bacterium. RNAcentral's name for it is "partial 16S ribosomal RNA". It matches the Rfam family "Bacterial small subunit ribosomal RNA", at positions 29 to 507 of the family's 1533-position model. The record is from RNAcentral.